RNAcentral lists this ribosomal RNA (344 nucleotides) under uncultured fungus. RNAcentral describes it as "eukaryotic LSU rRNA". The record is from RNAcentral. Lineage: Eukaryota; Fungi.
AACGCACCUUGCGCCCCUUGGCAUUCCGAGGGGCACACCCGUUUGAGUGUCGUGAAAUUCUCAAAAUCCUUUUCUUUGAUCGGAAUAGGACUUUUGGACUUGGAGGUUCAAUGCUCGCUUUCGCCUUUGAAAGCGAGCUCCUCUCAAAUGAAUCAGUGGGGUCCGCUUUGCUGGUCCUUGACGUGAUAAGAUGCUUCUACGUUUUGGAUUUGGCAUUGUUUUCUCCGCUCCUAACUGUCCCCAUGGGACAACGAUGGUGCUUCGGUCGUCGCCAUCUAUGGCGGGAGGCUGAACCCACAAAGAACCUUGACCUCAAAUCGGGUGAGACUACCCGCUGAACUUAA